GUUAUUAGCAUGGAACGAACAAUAGUGUAAAAAGUGUACUGGCAAAGGUGUAAAUUUACACCUCGGUGCACGACACCGACCGCCAAUUACGGAUGUUGGUUCCGAAUUGGGGUAAUGAUUAAGAGGAGCGAUUGGGGGCAUUAGUAUUUGGCAGCGAGAGGUGAAAUUCUUAGACCUGCCAAGGACUAACAAAUGCGAAGGCAUCUGUCCAGAUCGCAUCCAUUAAUCAAGAACGAUAGAAAGGGGUUUGACGAUGAUCAGAUACCAUCUUAAUCUUUUCUGUAAACUAUGCCGACCCGGGAUCAGUUGCGUGAUGUGGACGCUCGGAGUUGGUCCCCCUGGGAAACCUAAAGUGUUUCGGUUGCGGGGGGAGUAUGGUCGCAAGGCUGAAACUUAAAGGAAUUGACGGAAGGGCACCACCAGGGGUGGAGCCUGCGGCUUAAUUUGACUCAACACGGGAAAACUUACCCGGGCCGGACAUUUAAAGGAAACUCGAGACUAGAGAUCUUAGUUGAUAAAAUGAGUGGUGGUGCAUGGCCGUUCUUAGUACGUGAAGUGAUUUGUAAACUUGAUUGUUGAAACGUGCGAGACGACGGUCUCCAGUUGAGGAGCCAGAGAGGGCGUCGAUCCGAGCGAUUUUUGGCGACAAAAAUUGCUGAGAUUGGCGUUGAAGGCAGUGUUGGUUGGUGGGGUUGAGAUUUGAGCGAUUAAAUUGAAAUCACACCAAAAUCGGCACUCCCUCUGGCCGAGCGGAAUGAGAUUCGCAAGUGUUUAGUUUUGUAUCAUGGAGAGACAACGGAAUAUACUCAAAUCCGAGCAAGUGUCGCCAUAACAGGUCUGUGAUGCCCUUAGAUGUCCGGGGCUGCACGCGCGCUACAAUGGCAGUGACAGCGAGUGUCUGCAUCGAAAGAUGUGGGUAAGCUUGUAAUCACUGCCGUGAAGGGGAUUGAUGUUUGUAAAUACGUCAUGAAAGAGGAAUCCCUAGUAGGUGCGAUUCAUGAGAUUGCACCGACUAAGUCCCUGCCCUUUGUACACACCGCCCGUCGCUACUACCGAGUGAAUAGUGUCAUGAUGCCUUGGGAGCGGACGUCUGUUGAGUGUUUCGCUCAACGGAUGCUGCAAUCAGCGUAGAAUGGCGCAAUUUCGAGGAAGUAAAAGU
This 1159-nucleotide ribosomal RNA is filed under the name Myxobolus sandrae. RNAcentral describes it as "bacterial SSU rRNA". It matches the Rfam family "Eukaryotic small subunit ribosomal RNA", at positions 747 to 1789 of the family's 1831-position model. Lineage: Eukaryota; Metazoa; Cnidaria; Myxozoa; Bivalvulida; Myxobolidae. The record is from RNAcentral.